UGGGGAAUAUUGGACAAUGGGCGAAAGCCUGAUCCAGCCAUGCCGCGUGAGUGAUGAAGGCCCUAGGGUUGUAAAGCUCUUUUAGCGGGGAAGAUAAUGACGGUACCCGCAGAAUAAGCCCCGGCUAACUUCGUGCCAGCAGCCGCGGUAAUACGAAGGGGGCUAGCGUUGCUCGGAAUCACUGGGCGUAAAGGGCGCGUAGGCGGCCAUUCAAGUCGGGGGUGAAAGCCCAGGGCUCAACCCUGGAAUUGCCUUCGAUACUGUUUGGCUAGAGACCGGAAGAGGUAAGUGGAACUGCGAGUGUAGAGGUGAAAUUCGUAGAUAUUCGCAAGAACACCAGUGGCGAAGGCGGCUUACUGGUCCGGUUCUGACGCUGAGGCGCGAAAGCGUGGGGAGCAAACAGG
RNAcentral lists this ribosomal RNA (404 nucleotides) under bacterium. RNAcentral's name for it is "partial 16S ribosomal RNA". It matches the Rfam family "Bacterial small subunit ribosomal RNA", at positions 355 to 776 of the family's 1533-position model. RNAcentral also lists the same sequence under 1 other name. The record is from RNAcentral.